This 873-nucleotide ribosomal RNA is filed under the name uncultured beta proteobacterium. RNAcentral's name for it is "bacterial SSU rRNA". It matches the Rfam family "Bacterial small subunit ribosomal RNA", at positions 28 to 895 of the family's 1533-position model. Lineage: Bacteria; Pseudomonadati; Pseudomonadota; Betaproteobacteria. The record is from RNAcentral.
AUUGAACGCUGGCGGAAUGCUUUACACAUGCAAGUCGAACGAUGAAGCCUAGCUUGCUAGGUGAAUUAGUGGCGGACGGGUGAGUAAUAUAUCGGAACGUGUCCAUUAAUGGGGGAUAACUAAUCGAAAGGUUAGCUAAUACCGCAUACGCCCUGAGGGGGAAAGCUGGGGAUCUUCGGACCUAGCGUUAAUGGGGCGGCCGAUACCUGAUUAGCUAGUUGGUGGGGUAAAAGCCUACCAAGGCAACGAUCAGUAGCUGGUCUGAGAGGACGACCAGCCACACUGGGACUGGGACACGGCCCAGACUCCUACGGGAGGCAGCAGUGGGGAAUUUUGGACAAUGGGGGCAACCCUGAUCCAGCCAUUCCGCGUGAGUGAAGAAGGCCUUCGGGUUGUAAAGCUCUUUCGCAAGGGAAGAAACGAUAUAGGUUAAUAGCUUAUGUUAAUGACGGUACCUUGACAAGAAGCACCGGCUAACUACGUGCCAGCAGCCGCGGUAAUACGUAGGGUGCAAGCGUUAAUCGGAAUUACUGGGCGUAAAGCGUGCGCAGGCUGUUUUGUAAGUCAGAUGUGAAAUCCCCGAGCUCAACUUGGGAACUGCGUUUGAAACUACAAGACUAGAAUAGGUCAGAGGGGGGUAGAAUUCCAUGUGUAGCAGUGAAAUGCGUAGAGAUGUGGAGGAAUACCAAUGGCGAAGGCAGCCCCCUGGGAUCAUAUUGACGCUCAUGCACGAAAGCGUGGGGAGCAAACAGGAUUAGAUACCCUGGUAGUCCACGCCCUAAACGAUGUCAACUAGUUGUUGGUGGAGUAAAAUCCAUGAGUAACGUAGCUAACGCGUGAAGUUGACCGCCUGGGGAGUACGGUCGCAAGAUU